UUCUUACGGGUCAAUUCGGUCGAUUCUCGUACGUCGGUAGUAACGCGUAUGACGUGCAUUACGCCAGAUAUACACACACGUUAUAUUCAGCAUCGAGUCGGAGUCGACCCGGACGGGUAUCUCCCCCUAGGGGAGGGGCGUCCAGCGGUAAUUCUGCGCAAUUACCCCCAGCUCAUUCCUCUGGGCUUUUAGAAGGCAGCAGUUAUUCGUUCUCCGCAGGUUACUACCAGCCAUAUACAGCCCUCCUCCGUUCCUUCCCUUCAUCGAUACGCGAUUGUAACGUUUCGCUUCUGUGUGCAGGUUCCCGAUUAAAUUCACGAAGGAUGACUCUGAUUACUCCCAGUUUUCGAUCGGAUGAGAUCAUCGACGACGUUGUACUAUCUCAAUUCUCACGUGGAGCUUGGACAGUUUUAUCGUAUACGGGCUGCAGUUGGAGAGAUGAUCGAAAAAGCUGAAUCCGGAGCGAAAGUUCUGAUGGGAUGAAAAAAAAAAAACCAAAAAACAAAAGGACAGCAUUCGAAAGGGGAAGGAAAAAUAGUAGAAUCGCAUUUAUGAUCUCAAGAUAAAAUGAGACCUGUCGCUGCAUCAGUUGCAGGAGCCGGUUGAUCCGAAUAUAGGUUGCAUGUCUCCGAAACGUUAGGAACAACAACACGUGAACACACACACACACACACACAGACACAUACCUGUACAUCUACGUACAGAUCGAAUAGCCUAUACAUUAUAAAUAGCCAAUAGACAUCCAAUAUCGAAUUGUAGAGACACGUAUAGACACUUUGCGAAGCAAGAUAAUUCCGCCAGCCCACACCGUAUAGGUUCCGUACGUAUACAUAUCGUCCUGGAAAAAAAAAAUAUAUAUAUAUAUAUAUAUAAUACAUAAUCUAUCGGUAUUGCUGUAAAAUAAAAUUGUAACACGACUAUGAUACGAGGGUAGGAAAGACACAGGUAUACGUGUACGAAUACUUGUACAAGUUCAAUCCUAUUUUCAGUUUUUACACUCACCUUUAGAAGUGUACUCGUCGUAUACGUACAUAGGCGAGUGGUAUAUAACAAUCAGAUAUCAACCACGCGAGGCGCAAAUGCAAGGUGAUAACGGAAUUGUGAUCUCCGGAGAUAAAAUAAACAACGCGGGGAUAUGGAUAUAUGUAUCCUUAUGUACAACUUUACACCGUGUAUAUAAAUAUACUCAUGUAUUCGUAUCUACUGCCAGGUCGAGAUGUGCGUCUGUAUGUGUUACACCUAUUCCGGUAUCGAUUAUGAGAUGAUAUACCUGCGCGCAGGUGUCCUUGUGACCAACCGAGUGCGUUAUUGUAAAGUCGGGUUUAAUUCGUCCCGCGAAUCACGAACGCGAAAAAGAAAAAAAAAAAAACAAUUU
Molecule: unclassified non-coding RNA, 1375 nt
Filed under: Athalia rosae (coleseed sawfly)
Lineage: Eukaryota; Metazoa; Arthropoda; Insecta; Hymenoptera; Athaliidae
Description: misc RNA ENSAEAG00005008195.1
Source: RNAcentral